This 500-nucleotide long non-coding RNA is filed under the name Cyanistes caeruleus (blue tit). RNAcentral describes it as "lncRNA (ENSCCEG00000024497.1)". Lineage: Eukaryota; Metazoa; Chordata; Aves; Passeriformes; Paridae. The record is from RNAcentral.
AAAAUAGCAUUUCUGUCUCUCUUUUCCCUUUAUUUUCCUCAGCAUGUCUAGUAAGACAGCUUCUGCAUAGUGAAUGGUUUCUUACUCUGAAUACAUUCUAGUGCUGGGAUAGUCCUGGGAAGUCAUGGUCAAACCAAAUUGCCUACAAGCACUGGAUUAAGUGCCGGUUAAUUGGGCAAUUUAGAGGCUGUGACUAGAGCCUCGUGGAACAUAAUCUUGGUGCCCUGAACAGACAGAAGGCAAAUUUGCUCAAAGAUCCCUUAUAGUGCCAGUGCUCCUCCAGGUAAAAAAUGCCAAAGCAGGACUGAACACAAAGUCAUUUGCUGGAACAUUUAAUAAGGAGCAAAGAGAAAAGGAGUGAAUCAAAGGGAAAUUGCUGAUUAAUACCAAAGUGUAUGCAUAAAAAUAUAUGUGUAUGACUCAUCCACAAGAGAAAGAGAGACUCCAGAUAAAUUCAACUUGCUCCUGAAAAAGUGAAAAGUAGAAGGACUGUCUUGGAA